This 1185-nucleotide long non-coding RNA is filed under the name Oreochromis niloticus (Nile tilapia). RNAcentral describes it as "lncRNA (ENSONIG00000042832.1)". The record is from RNAcentral. Lineage: Eukaryota; Metazoa; Chordata; Actinopteri; Cichliformes; Cichlidae.
AUCUCCGCAGUCCAUUGAGUGGAAUUGGACAAGCUUUGAUCUAUAUAAGGCAGAAAAGUAUUGAUUUGGAAGACGGAACACAGAUCUUACAAGACUGUUUGACGGUGAGCCAGAACACUUGACUCCAUCCACUUCUCAGACCUUGCUUGAGAGGGACAUGUUUUUGGUGGCAGGAAGAAUAAUGGGACAUUCAUUCAUUCAUGGUGGACCGUGUGUGUCUGGUAUAAGUCCUGCAAUCAUCCAUGUCCUUUUUGGUGGCUCACCUGAAACAGCUACGGUUCAGAUUGAGGAUUGCCAUGAUAUUGACAUCCGCAGCACUAUUCAGCUGGUUUGCAUUUUUGUACCAUUAUUUUAAAGAACUACUAUUUCACUAAAUAUUGAAUUUAGAGACAUGCUUGGAUAGCCAUCAGUACCUACUACUGACUACUAACUUUUUUUUUCUCUGUCCUAGCUUGAUGGCACUACUGAAUUAACAGAAGUGGAACAAAGAAAUGUUCUCGAGCUAGCCCUGGCUUGGGACCUGCCAGGUGUCACACAAACCAAUAGAAAGUGGCUGUAUGAAUGUCUGCUAUUCCACGCUGUGAGUACAGACUCACUCUCCCCAAUAAAUUUACAUUUUGAAAAGCACAUCAAACCUUCGGAUGUGAAUAAGUACAUUUUUCAUAUACAAUUAAAAAAAAUCUCUUUGGAGGCCAUUUAAAAUGCUUUUACCAGUACAGUGGAUGUUCUUUAAGUAUUUAACAUUUAAAGUGUGUCUCAAUUUACGGACUCCAACUUCAGUUUUGGUUUGGUCUCACCGUUGUAGGUCAUAACACGAACAAGCCGUCAAGUCAAGCAGCUGAGGAAAGGGCUUAAGGAGACUAUGGUAUGGCCGCUUCUGACAGAAAGAUCAGACAUCAUUCCUCUUUUCUUACCAAGAGAAUCAGAGACUGCUCCCUGUUGUAAGGUCAGGUCACAUUUUAUAACAUCUGAACAGUAAAGGUAUUUGGUUAAUUUAUGAAGGAUGCACAUUAAUUGUUGACACAAAACAUCAAUAUAUCUGCUCUUGCUCUUGACGAAGGCGGUCGCACUUUUCUCCUCACCUCCUCUCCCUUAUCUUCCCUGCUUAGCCUCUUGUGUCCUUGUCUAGUCUCGUGUUUUUUUUUCUAUUACUUUCCCUGGAACACUCUCUCACAGUCUGUUCUC